UACGUAGGGUGCGAGCGUUAAUCGGAAUUACUGGGCGUAAAGCGUGCGCAGGCGGUUUCUUAAGCCAGACGUGAAAUCCCCGGGCUUAACCUGGGAACUGCGUUUGGAACUGGGAGACUAGAGUGUGUCAGAGGGAGGUGGAAUUCCGCGUGUAGCAGUGAAAUGCGUAGAUAUGCGGAGGAACACCGAUGGCGAAGGCAGCCUCCUGGGAUAACACUGACGCUCAUGCACGAAAGCGUGGGGAGCAAACAGGAUUAGAAACCCUGGUAGUCC
This 273-nucleotide ribosomal RNA is filed under the name uncultured prokaryote. Its description in RNAcentral is "partial 16S ribosomal RNA". It matches the Rfam family "Bacterial small subunit ribosomal RNA", at positions 524 to 796 of the family's 1533-position model. The record is from RNAcentral.